RNAcentral lists this long non-coding RNA (528 nucleotides) under Heterocephalus glaber (naked mole-rat). RNAcentral's name for it is "lncRNA (ENSHGLG00000048715.1)". Lineage: Eukaryota; Metazoa; Chordata; Mammalia; Rodentia; Bathyergidae. The record is from RNAcentral.
CGCAGGAAGGGAGCAGGGAAGGAUGCAAGCUCUGGAAAAAGGACCUUUGCUUGGAAUGUCCCAGCGCCCUAAGAACAGCAGCAGCACCGGAUGUAGUCUCUGCUUCCGGUUGUCAUCAGCCAAUGAGAGAAGGUUAAAGAGAACACUAGCGUUUUCCCACAGGAGAAUGCGAGGAAAUCAGAUGUGAGAGACUAGAAGUAACAGAUAAAGUCCAUCACGCAUCAAAUAUCUGCAGAAACUACUGUAGGUUGACAAGAUCAAGACAAAACAGAUCGAAUUCCCAGGGUGUGUUUCAGCUGUUGGGAAGCAACAUGGAGGGUCAGAUGAUCAUGAAGGCAGGAGCUGUGUUUUAUUUUCCAUGAAUUCUCUGUGCCGCCCAGUCAAUGUUUGCUGCAUUAAAUCCAGGCACACUUGGUAUAGAAAAUGCAACCUUGUGCCUAUGUUAGUUCUCAUAUUGAAUAUGUCUGGGCCUCUGCCAAUCUUUUCUGUUCUUUGCACUUCACAAAUUGGUGACAGGGCAGCAGAUAC